Molecule: long non-coding RNA, 671 nt
Filed under: Numida meleagris (helmeted guineafowl)
Lineage: Eukaryota; Metazoa; Chordata; Aves; Galliformes; Numididae
Description: lncRNA (ENSNMEG00000015690.1)
Source: RNAcentral
AUGGUGCUACUUAAAAGGAGUACUGGGGACAAUGUGCUGCUGUUUGCAAUGCAGAGGUGUGUUUUUCUGAGCUUCUGGAACAUGACAGUCUACACCUGCUCUCCUGCAUCUUCUCAUUCGUGGAGAAUGAUUUUGGAACCAUCUCUUUGCUUCAAAAGAUGGCUUCCUGAGAAUGAGGUACUCCAAAGCAGGAACAGGAACUGUACAGUGGUGUAUGGUACUGCACCGGUGACCACACCAAACAAUUCAGAUGGCGUGAGGUGCCCCCAGACACCACUUCCUGAGGAGCUUCCCAAGUAAGGUGGCCUGCAAACAGCUGUGAGAUCAAAUAGUUGGAGGUCACCUCCCUUCUGCAGAGAACUGGAGGGAUGGGUGAUUUAUGCCUUCUUUAUUCAACUGGCACAACAUUAAUGUGUAGAGAUGGAUAUAACAUGCUGAAUUUGAAAGGAAUUUUUUUCUCCAUGUUUUGUAUUAGGACAACUCUGGAAAUACUGUUUCUGGUUUUGCUUUUGUUCUUCCCAGCUUUUUAGGGAAUAUUUGAAGAAAAGAACUGAGGCUGUGCUCAUGACCAUUGAGGUAGAACUGAAUUUUUCCAGCAUAGAAAAGGAGCAGCUACAGAUCUUACUGCAGGGACUAAUAAAACUUUUGUCUUUUUCCUUCUUCUUCCCUGG